GAGUUUGAUCCUGGCUCAGAAUGAACGCUGGCGGCAGGCCUAACACAUGCAAGUCGAACGGAGUUAUAUUGUAGCUUGCUAUGGUAUAACUUAGUGGCAGACGGGUGAGUAAUGUAUAGGAAUCUACCUAGUAGUACGGAAUAAUUGUUGGAAACGGCAACUAAUACCGUAUACGCCCUACGGGGGAAAAAUUUAUCGCUAUUAGAUGAGCCUAUAUUAGAUUAGUUAGUUGGUGAGGUAAAGGCUUACCAAGACAAUGAUCUAUAGCUGAUCUGAGAGGGUGACCGGCCACACUGGGACUGAGACACGGCCCAGACUCCUACGGGAGGCAGCAGUGGGGAAUAUUGCACAAUGGGCGGAAGCCUGAUGCAGCAACGCCGCGUGGGGGAUGACGGCCUUCGGGUUGUAAACCUCUUUUAGCAGGGAAGAAGCUUUUGUGACGGUACCUGCAGAAAAAGCACCGGCUAACUACGUGCCAGCAGCCGCGGUAAUACGUAGGGUGCAAGCGUUAAUCGGAAUUACUGGGCGUAAAGCGUGCGCAGGCGGUU
RNAcentral lists this ribosomal RNA (548 nucleotides) under uncultured Wolbachia sp. RNAcentral's name for it is "bacterial SSU rRNA". It matches the Rfam family "Bacterial small subunit ribosomal RNA", at positions 9 to 580 of the family's 1533-position model. Lineage: Bacteria; Pseudomonadati; Pseudomonadota; Alphaproteobacteria; Rickettsiales; Anaplasmataceae. The record is from RNAcentral.